GGUUAAGCGACUAAGCGUACACGGUGGAUGCCCCGGCAGUCAGAGGCGAUGAAGGACGUGCUAAUCUGCGAAAAGCGUCGGUAAGGUGAUAUGAACCGUUACAGCCGGCGAUGUCCGAAUGGGGAAACCCAGUGCAAUUCGUUGCACUAUCGUUAACUGAAUACAUAGGUUAACGAGGCGAACCGGGGAACUGAAACAUCUAAGUACCCCGAGGAAAAGAAAUCAACCGAGAUUCCCCCCAGUAGCGGCGAGCGAACGGGGAGCAGCCCAGAGUCUGAAUCAGCUUGUGUGUUAGUGGAACGGUCUGGAAAGUCCGACGGUACAGGGUGAUAGUCCCGUACACCAAAAUGCACAGGUUGUGAACUCGAAGAGUAGGGCGGGACACGUGGUAUCCUGUCUGAAUAUGGGGGACCAUCCUCCAAGGCUAAAUACUCCUGACUGACCGAUAGUGAACCAGUACCGUGAGGGAAAGGCGAAAAGAACCCCGGCGAGGGGGAGUGAAAAAGAACCUGAAACCGUGUACGUACAAGCAGUGGGAGCACCUUCGGGUGUGACUGCGUACCUUUGUAUAAUGGGUCAGCGACUUAUAUUCUGUAGCAAGGUUAACCGUAUAGGGGAGCCGCAGGGAAACCGAGUCUUAACUGGGCGUUAAGUUGCAGGGUAUAGACCCGAAACCCGGUGAUCUAGCCAUGGGCAGGUUGAAGGUUGGGUAACACUAACUGGAGGACCGAACCGACUAAUGUUGAAAAAUUAGCGGAUGACUUGUGGCUGGGGGUGAAAGGCCAAUCAAACCGGGAGAUAGCUGGUUCUCCCCGAAAGCUAUUUAGGUAGCGCCUCGUGAACUCAUCUUCGGGGGUAGAGCACUGUUUCGGCUAGGGGUCAUCCCGACUUACCAACCCGAUGCAAACUACGAAUACCGAAGAAUGUUAUCACGGGAGACACACGGCGGGUGCUAACGUCCGUCGUGAAGAGGGAAACAACCCAGACCGCCAGCUAAGGUCCCAAAGUCAUGGUUAAGUGGGAAACGAUGUGGGAAGGCACAGACAGCCGGGAUGUUGGCUUAGAAGCAGCCAUCAUUUAAAGAAAGCGUAAUAGCUCACUGGUCGAGUCGGCCUGCGCGGAAGAUGUAACGGGGCUAAACCAUGCACCGAAGCUGCGGCAGCGACACUAUGUGUUGUUGGGUAGGGGAGCGUUCUGUAAGCCUGCGAAGGUGUGCUGUGAGGCAUGCUGGAGGUAUCAGAAGUGCGAAUGCUGACAUAAGUAACGAUAAAGCGGGUGAAAAGCCCGCUCGCCGGAAGACCAAGGGUUCCUGUCCAACGUUAAUCGGGGCAGGGUGAGUCGACCCCUAAGGCGAGGCCGAAAGGCGUAGUCGAUGGGAAACAGGUUAAUAUUCCUGUACUUGGUGUUACUGCGAAGGGGGACGGAGAAGGCUAUGUUAGCCGGGCGACGGUUGUCCCGGUUUAAGCAUGUAGGCUGAUUGUCCGAGGCAAAUCCGGAUAAUCAAGGCUGAGGUGUGAUGACGAGGCACUACGGUGCUGAAGUAACAAAUGCCCUGCUUCCGAGGAAAAGCCUCUAAGCAUCAGGUAACAUUAAAUCGUACCCCAAACCGACACAGGUGGUCAGGUAGAGAAUACCAAGGCGCUUGAGAGAACUCGGGUGAAGGAACUAGGCAAAAUGGUGCCGUAACUUCGGGAGAAGGCACGCUGGUGUGUAGGUGAAGUCCCUGCGGAUGGAGCUGAGACCAGUCGAAGAUACCAGCUGGCUGCAACUGUUUAUUAAAAACACAGCACUGUGCAAACACGAAAGUGGACGUAUACGGUGUGACGCCUGCCCGGUGCCGGAAGGUUAAUUGAUGGGGUUAUCCGUAAGGAGAAGCUCUUGAUCGAAGCCCCGGUAAACGGCGGCCGUAACUAUAACGGUCCUAAGGUAGCGAAAUUCCUUGUCGGGUAAGUUCCGACCUGCACGAAUGGCGUAAUGAUGGCCGAGGCUGUCUCCACCCGAGACUCAGUGAAAUUGAACUCGCUGUGAAGAUGCAGUGUACCCGCGGCAAGACGGAAAGACCCCGUGAACCUUUACUAUAGCUUGACACUGAACAUUGAGCCUUGAUGUGUAGGAUAGGUGGGAGGCUUUGAAGCGUGGACGCCAGUCUGCGUGGAGCCAACCUUGAAAUACCACCCUUUAAUGUUUGAUGUUCUAACGUUGGCCCCUGACCGGGGUUGCGGACAGUGUCUGGUGGGUAGUUUGACUGGGGCGGUCUCCUCCCAAAGCGUAACGGAGGAGCACGAAGGUUAGCUAAUCCCCGGUCGGACAUCAGGAGGUUAGUGCAAUGGCAUAAGCUAGCUUGACUGCGAGCGUGACGGCGCGAGCAGGUGCGAAAAGCAGGUCAUAGUGAUCCGGUGGUUCUGAAUGGAAGGGCCAUCGCUCAACGGAUAAAAGGUACUCCGGGGAUAACAGGCUGAUACCGCCCAAGAGUUCAUAUCGACGGCGGUGUUUGGCACCUCGAUGUCGGCUCAUCACAUCCUCGGGGCUGAAGUAGGUCCCAAGGGUAUGGCUGUUCGCCAUUUAAAGUGGUACGCGAGCUGGGUUUAGAACGUCGUGAGACAGUUCGGUCCCUAUCUGCCGUGGGCGCUGGAGAAUUGAGGGGCUGCUCCUAGUACGAGAGGACCGGAGUGGACGCAUCACUGGUGUUCGGGUUGUCAUGCCAAUGGCACUGCCCGGUAGCUAAAUGCGGAAGAGAUAAGUGCUGAAAGCAUCUAAGCACGAAACUUGCCCCGAGAUGAGUUCUCCCUGAGACUUUAAGUCUCCUGAAGGAACGUUAAAGACGAUGACGUUGAUAGGCCGGGUGUGUAAGCGCAGCGAUGCGUUGAGCUAACCGGUACUAAUGAACCGUGAGGCUUAACCUU
RNAcentral lists this ribosomal RNA (2903 nucleotides) under Klebsiella pneumoniae. Its description in RNAcentral is "23S ribosomal RNA". It matches the Rfam family "Bacterial large subunit ribosomal RNA". Lineage: Bacteria; Pseudomonadati; Pseudomonadota; Gammaproteobacteria; Enterobacterales; Enterobacteriaceae. The record is from RNAcentral.